GGUUCUUGGAAGCAAAGCCUGUACAGGCUCCCAGGGUGAGGCUUGCUGGGGUUCUCCUGCUUUUCCUUACCCGUGGGGUGCAACCCCUCUGAGGGGAUCCCCCCUGGUCCCAAGCUGCUUUGGACUCGGGGAUGCAGUGCAGCAGGUCAAAGGCUGCCCUUGCUUCUCUACUUCUGCCUGGUUUUUGAGCUCUUAGCAUUUCUGCCGCUUCUUCGCUGCAGUCCAGAGACUUCACAGAGCUAUUUCCAUCAAUCUGUAGCUGUCUUUUUAUUGUACUGGGUUUCGUGGGGGCCCUCUUGCUGAUGUCACCAUCAGCUCUGGGAGUUCCCACAGUCCCCCCGGGGAGCCCAACGUGUAGCCAGUGUUGGAGUAUCCUACAAACAUAGCGUUCCAAAAAAAGAUUACGAUUUAGUAGAGGACCCAGCAUCAGUAAGAUUCAUAAAUGGAGUCAGUGUCUAUCUGGAACGCCCUGUCAUUGUCUGGUCCUUGAGGUUUAAGAUAUGACUUAAACAGCCCUAAGAGUCUGCAUUUUUUACUGUCCUGAUAAACGCUGAGCUGUGCUUACACUGGGCAUCUCGUCAGCCAGUCAGUGUGCAUUCGUUGAGGUCCCAGUACCUUCAGGACCUGUGUGGACGCUGGGGAUGCUGAGGUGAAGGACACAGAGUCCCUGGCUUCCACCUGCUUAGAGCUGACAUCCUGUGUCUCCAGAGCCAUGAGAUGCAGACUUUUACAAACUCUCAGCUUUUAUGACCAAAUCAUUUCUGUCUUAAUUCAUGCCACCCAGGGCAUCAAAAAACCUUCAUUAUGGGGGUUACUCUUAUCGCAGAGGAGAGACGUCUGGGGGCUCCCAAAUCCGCUCAGGGUCUAGACAUCAUCAGGAGUUAAGCCGGCAGCACUGCCCAGUGCAGGCUCACCAAUCUCCUGCGUGGUCCUGCCUUCUUCCCUGGGGGAUGGGGAAUCAAGGAAAUAGAACACGGACUCAAGUAGCAAAUGCCAAGAAUAAGGGUGGUUUGGAUAGAAGAUGAAAACAGAAGGGUUUCUAUGGAACCAGGGCAGAUCUUGGGGCCGUGUGACGAGUGAGCCGAGCAAGAGACCUUCUGGAAGAAACGUCGCAGUCGCUGAGAGCACAGCUGCAGCCACAGGCCAGUGUGAGGAAAUGAGAACCCAGGUGCAUGACCUCCAGGGUCCUUUCUCAGCAGCAGCCCUGGGGAGGCCCCUCAGGACGGGGCUCCAGGUGGGUGCUCGUGUCUCAUGGACGGUUCUCUCACGGGGCUGUGUGCUGGCCGAGGAAGCAAGAUGACCGAUGGUCUCACGGUUGCUGAGGGGAAUGACGGGUGUUGAAGACACUGAACCCACUGACCUGGAAUGGUUUCCAGUAGAAUGUGCGUUCUCACCUCUGUUGAGAACCACUCAGGACAAGAUGAUGGUUUCCUCUUCUGUACUCCUCACCUGGGGCAGAGGACAGGAUAGGGCAUAAAAAUUUAUCCAACAAAUUAUUACUUUAUGCAAUGCUGAACAAUCUGUAUUUUGUUACACCGAUAUAACAUGUCACUUGGGUCAUACCCCGAAUUUCCAUAAAUGUAUGAAUUUCCAUAAAUGUAUGUAUGAAUGUA
This is a long non-coding RNA of Canis lupus familiaris (dog), 1613 nucleotides long. RefSeq lists it as uncharacterized. The record is from RefSeq and is a predicted model, not a curated record. NCBI's taxonomy places the organism in Eukaryota, Metazoa, Chordata, Mammalia, Carnivora, Canidae. The transcript has 2 exons.